Molecule: non-coding RNA, 73 nt
Organism: Lutra lutra (Eurasian river otter)
Lineage: Eukaryota; Metazoa; Chordata; Mammalia; Carnivora; Mustelidae
Source: the annotation of a RefSeq genome assembly
ACCUGGCUGGCUCAGUUGGUAGAGCGUGUGACUCUCGAUCUCAGGGUUGUGAGUUCCAGCCCCAUGCUGGGCA